UACGUAGGGGGCUAGCGUUGUCCGGAUUUAUUGGGCGUAAAGCGCGUGUAGGCGGCCAAGUAGGUCCGUUGUGAAAACUCGAGGCUCAACCUCGAGCUGUCGGUGGAAACCACUUGGCUAGAGUCCGGAAGAGGAGAGCGGAAUUCCCGGUGUAGCGGUGAAAUGCGCAGAUAUCGGGAAGAACACCCGUGGCGAAGGCGGCUCUCUGGGACGGUACUGACGCUAAGACGCGAAAGCGUGGGGAGCAAACAGG
RNAcentral lists this ribosomal RNA (253 nucleotides) under uncultured bacterium. RNAcentral describes it as "partial 16S ribosomal RNA". It matches the Rfam family "Bacterial small subunit ribosomal RNA", at positions 524 to 776 of the family's 1533-position model. The record is from RNAcentral.